UGUGUUAAAACACGGUUUGCGUCCGUUCUGCAGGUCUAACCAGUAUCGUGAUCAUUGUUGCANACNGCAAGGGCAGACCNGGAACACGGGGUUUAACCACAUCGGGUAGGCGGCUUUCGGCCGGUCUCCCCGACCCCCCGUCGGUGCGGGCGCUGGCGCUCGGUGACCGCUCGGGGCUAACAAACUCGGGCGGCGGGAAUGCGCCAAGGAAAACUCAAAGGAUCGGUCCGCCCCCGUCGCCCCGUUCGCGGAUUGUGUCGGGGGAUGGACGCCUGUCGUAAUACCAAAACGACUCUCGGCAACGGAUAUCUCGGCUCUCGCAUCGAUGAAGAACGUAGCGAAAUGCGAUACUUGGUGUGAAUUGCAGAAUCCCGUGAACCAUCGAGUCUUUGAACGCAAGUUGCGCCCGAAGCCGUCAGGCCGAGGGCACGUCUGCCUGGGCGUCACGCAUCGCGUCGCCCCCCUCCAGCGCUUCGGCGCUCGUUUGGGGGCGGAGAAUGGCCUCCCGUGCGCCCCGGCGUGCGGCCGGUCCAAAUGCGUUCCCCCGGCGACGCACGUCGCGACCAGUGGUGGUUGAUCAUCAACUCGCGUGCUGUCGGGACUAGAGGCGUUGUCCGUGCGGAGAACAAACACAAGACCCAAAGGGUGCAUUCAUGCGAUGCGCCUACCGACCGUCGACCCCGGAUCGUUCU
This 692-nucleotide ribosomal RNA is filed under the name Ajuga sp. d6. RNAcentral describes it as "eukaryotic LSU rRNA". The stretch from base 291 to 446 matches the Rfam family "5.8S ribosomal RNA". The record is from RNAcentral. Lineage: Eukaryota; Viridiplantae; Streptophyta; Magnoliopsida; Lamiales; Lamiaceae.